CAGUAGCCGCGGUAAUACGUAGGUGGCAAGCGUUGUCCGGAAUUAUUGGGCGUAAAGGGCUCGCAGGCGGUUUCUUAAGUCUGAUGUGAAAGCCCCCGGCUCAACCGGGGAGGGUCAUUGGAAACUGGGAAACUUGAGUGCAGAAGAGGAGAGUGGAAUUCCACGUGUAGCGGUGAAAUGCGUAGAGAUGUGGAGGAACACCAGUGGCGAAGGCGACUCUCUGGUCUGUAACUGACGCUGAGGAGCGAAAGCGUGGGGAGCGGACAGGAUUAGAUACCCCUGUAGUCCCUGUCUCUUAUCC
This 301-nucleotide ribosomal RNA is filed under the name uncultured bacterium. RNAcentral's name for it is "partial 16S ribosomal RNA". It matches the Rfam family "Bacterial small subunit ribosomal RNA", at positions 509 to 809 of the family's 1533-position model. The record is from RNAcentral.